GCAAAUUGCCUCCUCUGCCCCUCCCCCUGAUAGUAAACUUAUAACAACAACUCAACUUAUAAUUUUCCCUAUUGAAAAGUCUCUGCACGAAUUUUUUUUUCAAACUUUUGGUGCACAAGUUUUUUUUUCUGUUCAAUUUUUAUUUUUGCUUCCCUCCCCCCCCCCCCAUCACUUUUCUAAUGGUCCACUCCUUAGUCCAUUACACCCUACUGUUAAUGACAAACAUGAGAUUGAUCAUAAAGUUUGCCUCCACUAUGUGUUCUUUUAUGUCUUGUUGAAGUACUUGAAUAUCUGAAUUCUUUACAGAUAUGAUAUUCAUAUAAGGUUUUACUCUAUUAUGUGUGUUUUUGUGACAGUAACUAAAUUGUUUGAUGUUGAAUAAUGUUUGUUACACAUCUUAGCAAGCCUCAUAUACAGGAUGUGCUUGUCUGUAUCAUGAUUUGUUGCAGUGUACGUUGUUUAAACAAAUUUGCCCAUGUUAAUUGGU
This is a non-coding RNA of Paramuricea clavata, 487 nucleotides long. Lineage: Eukaryota; Metazoa; Cnidaria; Anthozoa; Malacalcyonacea; Plexauridae. The record is from the annotation of a GenBank genome assembly.